Molecule: non-coding RNA, 102 nt
Filed under: Desulfitobacterium metallireducens
Lineage: Bacteria; Bacillati; Bacillota; Clostridia; Eubacteriales; Desulfitobacteriaceae
Also listed under: 1 other name
Description: Guanine sequence
Rfam family: Purine riboswitch aptamer
About the family: Riboswitches are metabolite binding domains within certain messenger RNAs that serve as precision sensors for their corresponding targets. Allosteric rearrangement of mRNA structure is mediated by ligand binding, and this results in modulation of gene expression. A class of riboswitches that selectively recognises guanine and becomes saturated at concentrations as low as 5 nM.
Source: RNAcentral
UUUUUAAUGGAAUAGAGUGUUCAUAUAAUAGCAGAGAUAGGGUCUGUAAGUUUCUACCGGGCUGCCGUAAAUGGCCUGACUAUGAGCGAAAGUGUACCUAGG